GUUAUUGUGGCGUGGUGGUUUGAGCAUUGGAUUAUGACUCUGAAGACCAGGGUUCAAAUCCCAGCUUAGCCA
Phrynosoma platyrhinos (Desert horned lizard) is the source of this 72-nucleotide non-coding RNA. The record is from the annotation of a GenBank genome assembly. Lineage: Eukaryota; Metazoa; Chordata; Lepidosauria; Squamata; Phrynosomatidae.